Oncorhynchus gorbuscha (pink salmon) is the source of this 2058-nucleotide long non-coding RNA. RefSeq lists it as uncharacterized. The transcript has 3 exons. The record is from RefSeq and is a predicted model, not a curated record. Lineage: Eukaryota; Metazoa; Chordata; Actinopteri; Salmoniformes; Salmonidae.
UUUUUGUUUGUGCUUGCAACAUUUCUGAAGACCCAAAUACACCAAUAUUUUUUAAAUGAUGGUUAAAAGCAAAUAAAGAAUUUAUGACCAGAAAUCUAAUUGGUUGAUCUUACAUUGAGAACCAAAGGAGAAAUAUAAAAUGACGACUGCAUAAACAAUGAGGACGGUGAGAUAGAUACAGAAACAGAUCAAGUCCACUUUGUUGGCAAAGCGAUGGUGUAUAGCAUUUUUCUGGUCUUGUGCAGCCAUUUUGUUGAGAAACUUCACCACCUUCUGGAGGGCUGUAUUCUUCUCUUCCUCUGAGGCUUUAAUAUCAGACUUGGAUUCUAGACAAAGUAAAGGAGAGAAAAAAAGGAUAACCUAUUAUUAAUAUAACAUAAUUAAAUAAAGAUGUAAAAAUUUCUGUAAAAUGACAGUUUUCAGUGACAUGAAAGAUCAAAUGGAGUAGCUGUCCAGACCAGCGUAAACGCCAGACAAAUGAUGCUAACAAGGAAAGAUGCUGGGAAAGACUGCAUGCUUUAACUGCAGCUAAAGGGUAAGAAUUAAAAGGUUCAGAAUUAAAAUACAACCUGACUAGUUUAUGAUGAAAGUCCGUUAUGGGGUCCCCAGUAAAACUGGUUGCAGUAACGUCAUUAUGACUUCAUGGUCAGGUUAUAAAUGGUUGUAUAAGGACGUUUUGUUAAUGUCUUUGGAAACCAUGAAAAUAUAUCUUGCUCUGUGGAUAACUGAGGUGACGGAAGAAUGAAAAUGUUUACCCUCUUCAUUGUCUGUGUCUUUAAGCAGUGAGUCUUUGGACUUGGAGAGGCUGCAGGGCCAGAGAGUGCCACACUUAGCCAGGCGUGUGAGCACCAUAGACUGCAACGUGCUCAACACCAGGAUGACCAAACAGAAACAGAAGUGCUUUCCUAUGGAGAACAACGAGAGAGAGAGAUGUGACACUCACGGAUGAUGGGGCUGCACUGGCCUCCUCCAGGCAGUAGGUCGUUGAGGAUGAUGAGGAACAUGAUGAAGCUGAGAACCAGUGUAACCUUGAAUGAGAUACGCUCGCCCCCUCCCAGUGGCAGGGAGAAGCUCACCACAUCUGCCACAAUGAUCAGUAUACUGGGCAGGACCAGGGACAGAAAGGGGUUUUCAGACCGCAUCUUCAGCGACACCUGUGAAGACAGAUGGAUUUUCAAGUUAGAUGGGGAGCGGCGAUGAACAGCAAUCUAAGUUUUUUGUCAAUGAGAUUCAAGUCUGGGCCACUCAUGGACUUUCACAUUGUUGUUCUGAAGCCAUUCCAUCGUUGCUUUGGCUGCAAGUAUUCACCCCCAGUCUAACGUCGUUUGCACUCUGAAGCAGGUGCUCAUCAAGGAUGUAUUUGGCUCCAUUCAAUGUUCUCUCGAUCCUUACCAGUCCCUCAAUCCCUGCUGCUCAACAGGGUAGGGAUGGCAUUAGAGGGUGAUGAGCUGUGCCUGGUUCUCUCCAGACACAGUGGUUUGCAUUCAGGCCAAAGAGUUCCAUUUUUGUCUCAUCAGACCACAGAAUAUUUUUGCCUUAUGCUCAAGUCUUUCAUAUACCUUUUUGCAAACACCAGAUGUGCUGUCAUGCACCUUUUUCUCAGGAGUGGCUUCCGUCUGGCCACUCUCCUAUAAACCCCAGAUUGGUGAAGUGCUGUAGAGACCGUUGUCCUUCUGGCAGGUUCUCCCAUCUCAGCCAAGAAACUCUGUAGUUCUAUCAGAGUGGUCAUUGAGUUCUUGGUUACCUCCCUGACCAAGGUCCUUCUUGCCCGGUUUCUCAGUUUGAUUUGACAGCCAGCUCUAGGCAGAGUCUGGGUAGUUCCAUGUUUUUAUUGAUUUCACAAUGAUGUUGACCACUGUGCUCUUGGAAACUUUCAACACUCUAGAAAUUAUUUUAUACCCUUCCCCAGAUAUGCCUUAUCACAAUUCCCAGAGAUCUACAGACAGCUCCUAGGAUCUUAUGGUAUAAUUUCUGCUCUGACAUGCACUGUCAACUAUGGGACCUUACAUAUAUAUAUGCCAUUUAGCAGACGCUUUUAUCCAAAGCGACUUACAGUCA